RNAcentral lists this ribosomal RNA (252 nucleotides) under uncultured bacterium. Its description in RNAcentral is "partial 16S ribosomal RNA". It matches the Rfam family "Bacterial small subunit ribosomal RNA", at positions 525 to 776 of the family's 1533-position model. The record is from RNAcentral.
ACGUAGGGGGCAAGCGUUAUCCGGAAUUACUGGGUGUAAAGGGUACGUAGGCGGUUCAUUAAGUCAGAUGUGAAAGCCCGAAGCUCAACUUCGGGACUGCAUUUGAAACUGGUGAACUAGAGUACAGGAGAGGUAAGUGGAAUUCCUAGUGUAGCGGUGAAAUGCGUAGAUAUUAGGAAGAACACCAGUGGCGAAGGCGACUUACUGGACUGUAACUGACGCUGAGGUACGAAAGCGUGGGGAGCGAACAGG